UACGGGGGGAGCAAGCGUUGUUCGGAUUUACUGGGCGUAAAGGGCGCGUAGGCGGUCGUGACAAGUCACUUGUGAAAUCUCCGGGCUUAACUCGGAACGGUCAAGUGAUACUGUCGGACUAGAGUACAGAAGGGGCAACUGGAAUUCUCGGUGUAGCGGUGAAAUGCGUAGAUAUCGAGAGGAACACCUGCGGCGAAGGCGGGUUGCUGGGCUGAUACUGACGCUGAGGCGCGAAAGCCAGGGGAGCGAACGGG
This 254-nucleotide ribosomal RNA is filed under the name Acidobacterium sp. RNAcentral's name for it is "partial 16S ribosomal RNA". It matches the Rfam family "Bacterial small subunit ribosomal RNA", at positions 524 to 776 of the family's 1533-position model. RNAcentral also lists the same sequence under 1 other name. Lineage: Bacteria; Pseudomonadati; Acidobacteriota; Terriglobia; Terriglobales; Acidobacteriaceae. The record is from RNAcentral.